AUGGAUAGUGUAAUGACCCUGGUGGUAGUUUGACCCUUCCUCUGUACGGUGAACCUAAAGAAACACUCAUUAGAACCCGGCUGCUCCCUUCUUUGACCUUUAGAAAUGGUUGAUGUCAGGAGCGAAAGUGUCUUAACUCUUUUUUUACAGGAGCAGUGAUUUGCGAACUUCUUCUCAUUAUUGCUUUCUUUUUUUGCCAUUGAGCUGUUUCCUUUUCUGUUAAAAAAAAAAAAAUCUUGGCUAGUCAUGCCCGGGAUAUCCCAUGAUCCUGGUACUAUCGAAGGUGCCAAUCCUUCUCGUCAAGCCAUUAUUCAGAGGUCACGUCUCGCAGCCAUAAAUAUAGGGAGCACAAUUAAGCGACCCUCAACAGUGAUACCAACAACGCCAUACACUUGUGCUGAGGGAGUCCUUAACACCGAUAAACAUUAGGGGUUGAAUAUGUGGCUCAAUCCUAGAUCUAAGGGUAAGAAUGAGAGCACAAUCAGAUAGCUUUUGUAUUAUGUCAUCAAUCUGUUUAUUUUUAUUUGCUCUUGUAUUUAAGGACUUGUGUCGAUCGAUAUUGUAUUUAUUCUGCAGUUCGACGUUUUAUUUCUUAUUCUUUGUUAUUUUAUUUAAGGAGUGGAUGACUUGUGUUCGAUGAUACUUUAUUAAUUUUUCAGUAACAUCUUCUGUUGUUGAUGUUAUUCAAUCUGUUCUUCUUCAAGGUUGAAAGCCACGUUCAUUUUCCCUCUUGAUGGUGAAAGGCGGAAGAACAAGUGAUGGUGAGUGAUAGUGAGAAUAAGUGAUGGUGAGAUUAGUGAUGGUGAGAUUAGUGAUGGUGAGAUUAGUGAUGGUGAGAUUAGUGAUGGUGAGAUUAGUGAUGGUGAGAUUAGUGAUGGUGAGAUAAGAGAUGGUGAGAUAAGGGAUGGUGAGAUUAGUGAUGGUGAGAUAAGGGAUGGUGAGAUUAGUGAUGGUGAGAUAAGGGAUGGUGAGAUAAGGGAUGGUGAGAUUAGUGAUGGUGAGAUUAGUGAUGGUGAGAUUAGUGAUGGUGAGAUUAGUGAUAGUGAGAAUGAGUGAUAAUAAAUGAUGGUGAAAGGCGUUAGAAAAAAGUGCUUUGAUGUUUUUUUGUGAAUACUAUUUAUUGAUUGGUCAUUUAGGAAUCUGAAACAAAGCCUUGAACAAACAAACAAACAAACAAACAAGGAAUAUAAGACUGACUGACUGACUGAUUGAAUGACUGACUGACUGACUGACUGUUGCGCGUUGAACUAUGACAACACAGCAACACAAACUACCUAACACAUUCCUAACCAGUAGAACACAUAAACUAACAUCUUCUGCAACACAAGAUCGAAUACAAACGGCAACACAACUUCACCACGGAAAAGAAACACCCCCGCAACACCACACAUCAUGAAGAAACACACCGAAGCAACACAAAUAUGACAUGCAACACUCAGGAUAAAGUGGGUAAAGAAACAGUAUAAGGAAAAGAUCGGUAUGCAACACUACCUCAAAAGAAACACAACCACAAAACACAUCCCCGAAACAAGGAGCAACACAAAUAUGACAUGUAACACUCAGGAACAGUUGGGUAGAGGAACAGUAUAAGGAGAAUAUCGAUAUGCAACACUGCCUCAAAAAGAAACACUCCAAGAAAGGCAUACACACAAAACAUAUCAACUGAACAAGAAGCAACACAAAACUGACUCAAUGCAACACUCAGGAAUGCUAUGUGACAACUGGAAUGUUUCUUACACGUAUGUCGGUAUAUAUCCACAACACUACCCACCUUGCAACACAUACAACACAACUUGGUCCUCAUAAAGGUUUUGGCAACACUGGCAAAGCUUUUCAUCCUACUCUCAACACUGCAGUUCAUAAUUACCACAUAUGAAACACUGCCUGAAACACUAUUGCCAACUCUACUAACCUUGCAGCACACACAACACAACUUGGUCCUCAUAAAGGUUUUGGUAACACUGGCAUCUGGCUUUUCAUCCAACAACACCGCAGUUCAUAAUUACCACAUAAGAAACACUGCCUGAAACACUAUCGCCAACACUACUAACCUUACAACACAAACACAACACAAACUGGUCCUCACACAAUGAUAAAACAACAUAAACAUCAACAAAAAUAACAUCGCCUUGCUUCAGUAUUACUUGAAACACACCAUCGUACACUUAAAAAGAAAUAUUGCACAAGUUGUUGAAAAAUAGAAAAAUACAGAUGACCCCCCUUCCUCAAAGAAAACGGGGGAGGCUCCUUGCUCCAGUAAUGUUACUCGUUUAUUCAAUCAAAACUGAACCCCUUUACUAGAGAGAGAGGGUCAGAGGGACAUAUAAAUAGCCCUUCAUCACUUCCAUAUCACUAUCCAAACCACGUCAGUCAGACACCUUAUAUCAUAGCACAUUGUAAAGUCAGAUGAGAAAAGUAAGACUCACAUUAUUAAACGUUUCGGACUCUUGUUACGAACGUUUUGAAGGCUACAGAGGAGGUACGUCGGGUUGUGAUGAGUAUUUUCCCCGUUCAUGGCGCAGAAGUCUUCCAAAACCAAAGCUAGAGUCAGGAUACCACGCAUGGAUACCCCUACAACUUCUACGAGAGCCUUUUUAAAUAGAUGUAUUAUGAUUUCGAAGCGUUUGAUAAUAUGGGCCUCAGGUAAGGGAGGAUAGUUCUAGAUAUAAACCCAAUACAAACUAUAGAAAAGUCACCGUACACUAAACUGCCGCAGAGAAGCCCCGCCCACUCUUCCAUAGAAACGGGAGCUGAUUGGUUGGAUGGAAGGAGCGUGGCGUGAGGAGUCUAUGGUUAGCAUUCUAAGACACUACCAACUCUCACAUCAGUUAUUUCCAAAAGCCAAAAAAGGAGGUAAAAUGCUUCCUCAUGAGUGUUUUUUCAGGUUCGUGGUACUGAGGAAGAGUCAGACUACCACCAGGGCCAUAAAACUACCCCUGGAGAGGCUCACAACUCCUACGAAAGCCUUAUCAAAUGUGCUGAAAUAUUUAAGAAUAUGGCUCUAUGGUACCGUGGAGGGAGACUGAGGGAGGGGGAGGGGCUUGUGGGACAGUUUAGUAUGCACGGUGACGAUAGUUUACCGCACUUAACAUAAUUCUAUACUAGGUCAAGAGAUCAACAUUGAGCAAUGGUCGCGGGGCACGCUAGACGAGGGUUGGCAUCAGGUCACACUGGGUCAAAGUCUUAGGGUAGAAAACUUAUAGAUGGAAGACUGGGAAAAGGAAAGUUAGGUAAGGUUGGGUAAGGAAGAAUAACUGAUCAGUGCAAGGCUAUAGGUCAGGUCAAGCUGGGUCAAGGUCUUAGGAUAGAAUACUUAAGGAAGGAAGACUGGGUUAAGGAAGGCUAUGUAGGUAAGGUUGGGUAGGGGAGAAUGGCAGUAAGGGUAGGUCAGGGCAGGGAUUAGGGUGAGUUUUCAGAGGUCAAGCCAGGUCAAGGAAAGGUCAGAGAGUACAUCAAGGUGCACAGCUCGUCGCUAGGUGCCCCCAAGGCCUCAUUACCUCGGCAUAACCUUAAAAUUACCUUAACAUUUACCUUAAAAACGAUAAACUUUUCAGACUCUCCCAAAUCACACAGGUACGAGAGGUCUUUGUCUCUCUAUAUACAAACAGAGUAGUGGCAUAGGAGAGUUUGGCCAUUCAUCACAUGCGCCAAAUUCAAACUCAUAUCGUGUCAUUCUCUACGUUAUUUCCCCCUCCCGUCCUCUACGUCAGUUUGCAGUGCAGUGUUUUCAGAGUACGGGUCGCAACACACUCCCACUUCCUCGCAGAUACAUGAGUCUAUACCAAGCACUGUCAGGAGGCUUGCAGAUUGAUCACAAAGGUAAAACUACUGCAAGCAUAGUCACAGCAUAUACCGCAAUUAUAAUCUUCACUGUUCUCAUCUGCCAAUUCGCUAUCAGUCUCCUGUAUCUAAAGACUAAACACUAGAUGGAAGUUGAGGCAAUAUUCAGCUCCACAUAUUCCUUAAAACUACAAAGUCACGAUCCAUCAGUUAUAUUCUUCCCUGUUCUCAUCUGCCAAUUCUCUAUAAGUCUCCUGUAUCUGAAGACUAAACACUAAAUGGAAGUUGUGGCAAAAUUCAGCUCCAUAUAUUCCUUAAAACUACAGUCACGAUCCAUCGACGAGGAAAAUAACGAGAGGUUGACAACUACUCUAAGCACUGUCCAUCGUCCCACCACUCCGGGACUUAGAAAUAACAUGACUCACAAGUAUUUUUCGACUAGUCUCAUAUUCUUAGCCUCAAACAGACUAGGCAAGGAUUCACUAACUAAGGACACGCACGGAAUUCAAGACCUUUUAGCUGGAAUGGUUAGUAGAGAAUCACUUUGAGCAGAGAUCGGGGUUGGCAUUAUAAGACACUUCCGUUUCUCACAUCAACAAUUUCUAAAGGUUAAAGAGGGGGUCAGUCGGGUUCUAAUGAGUGUUUCCUUAGGUUCCCGGUACAGAGGAAGGGUCAAACUAACACCAGGGUCAUAAAACUACUCCUGGAAAUGCCCACAACUCCUACGAAAGCUUUGUCAAAUAUGUGUUCUUGGGCGCCGAAAUAUCUUAUAAUACGUUUUAUAAUGCAAGGAUGACUUGGGAAAAAGGCCACAGCAAGAAGGGUACUUAUUGGACACUUGAGCAAGGGGAAGACAUGGGCAUUCAUAGAGGCACGUAGUCUUCGAGGGAAUGCAGGAACUUUACAUGACGGGAGUACCAAGGCGCCUCUCCUUCCGAAACUGACCUCUCUUCUGGUCGUUCAUUCUUUAUUUUGAGGGAGCAGCGUUAGUCGGCCUCUUUAUUUAUUGUUUUUUCAUUUUUCCCUUGAGCUGCUUCCUUGACUGUAUAAAAAGGAAGGCGGAAUUCAUAAGGACACUCGAGCUCUUUAAAAACCGCAAGACCGCAAACGCCAAUGUCUGAAAAGUGAAUCAACGUUUCUUAAAGUUCGAUUCCUUUCUAUACGACCUAAUAGAGUUGUGGAUUUAGUUAGGCGAUCAUAAUGGCUUAAGUCACAACGCCACAAGAUAGAAAACACUUGAGAGUAGCACCGAUUUCUGGCACGAUACUGUUUUGGCAAUAUUGGCGCUCACGACCUCGUCAUUCUAGAGGCAUCAGUCGGGGUUUGAUCGAAAAGGAAGGUGACUCAGCGAAGAUUGACGCCCUUGUUGCUACACUAACUCUCGAUAUAAAGGCGGAAGGUUCAGAGAAAAGAAGGAGUCGUAGAAGAAACUAUAGCAAGAACAGAUUCAUUUGAAGAAGAAGGAUUCGUACUGAGUGUUGAUCGAGAUGGAUGUAGCCAAGAACAGAUUGACGCACUUUCUAUGUUGCUACACCACCUCGCUAUGGCUCAGAAUGGAAGCUUCAAAAGAGAGAGGAGGAGGAGUCGUGGGGGAAACUAUUGCAAGAGAAGGUUCAGGAGGAGUCCGUAUCAAGGGGAGUGUAGUGUAUAACCAAGAAUAGACUGGAGUCCUUCCCCUGUUGCAAAACCAUCUCAGUAUAGCCGAGAAAGGGAUUCAAAAGAGAGAGAGAGAAAAAGGAAUCGUGGAAGAAACCAUUGGAAGAGAAAGUUCAGGGAGAGUUCGAAUCGAGAUGGAUGUAGCCAAGAACAGA
Molecule: long non-coding RNA, 5591 nt
Organism: Eriocheir sinensis (Chinese mitten crab)
Lineage: Eukaryota; Metazoa; Arthropoda; Malacostraca; Decapoda; Varunidae
Exons: 2
Source: RefSeq, a predicted model, not a curated record